This is an RNA transcript of Argentina anserina (silverweed cinquefoil), 3204 nucleotides long. RefSeq lists it as uncharacterized. The transcript has 18 exons. NCBI's taxonomy places the organism in Eukaryota, Viridiplantae, Streptophyta, Magnoliopsida, Rosales, Rosaceae. The record is from RefSeq and is a predicted model, not a curated record.
GGACGUUUUAGAAUUUAGAGUAUAGACGGUUGUUUAAGCGGCCUAGGCGGACUCUGGCGGGUCCAGCGGACCAACGUUUGACUUUAUAUUUUAUGUUUUAAGAAAGAUCAAGGUUCUCCUAAGCUCAAAACGACGUCGCUUCUCAGGACGAAUUUUCUGCGCAACGUUCUGCUCUUUAAUCCCGCACUCUAUCCGAGCUGCUUCUUCUUCCGCCGGAAUAAGCUCUCAACAUUUUUCCGGUGAGUUCUGCAUCCCGUACCUCCGAUAUUUCGUAAUAGUGGCAAUACCAAUUCCGGCAAUCUCCUACAAUCUUCUUUUCGAACAAAACGCGCAGAUUGAUUUCUCCUUAACCAUGAGCGAGAGUGAGAUUCCGUCUCUCAUCUCUCUCUGCCUCGACGCAGUCAAAUCCGAUCUUGUUCGCGGCGAUGAUCUGCUUCCGAUUAUCCAGGAGCUCCCUCCGAACUUGCUCGAUCUUCUCGUUUUGCGGUUGCCGCCGUUCGCCUUGCAGAAGCUGCACCGAGAAAUGCCUUAUGAUGAUCAAGAGGAUGAGUUUUCUGAUGAGUGCAUUGGAAAUGGUAGAAAGCGAGGACGGUCGGCGAGGUCAAGGAAAUUCGACAAGGCGUGGAGAGAGUUUUAUAAAUCGCGGUGGCCAGUGCUUGGUAGUAGGAUUGAAACGGAUGACUGGCAGCAGAUUUAUUGGGAAACUCAUCUGCAAAAAUGUCUAGAUGAAGUAGCAGAGCUAGCUUCGCUGCCCUCAUUUGAUGGGUGCCUUGGUGAUGUCAAGAUUUCAGACUCGUUAUUGAAAUUGAUAGGUUGUGAAGGUGAUAUGGCUACGUCAACUCCUGGUUAUUCCACACUUUAUCACCAUUUUCUACACUUUGGUUAUUUAGCCAGAACCUUGAGACUUCAAAAUGUUUUUUGUGGGGAAGAAAUUUGUCACUUAUUGAAGAGCAGCAAAUUGCAGAGCUUGGAAGUAAGGUGGAUAAGAUCCAAGGACCAUAUUAACGGAGUAUGCAAGCUUCUCAACCAGAACAGUGAAACUUUAACCUCGCUUGAAUUCAUUCACUGUACACUUUCUUCAGCUUCUAUCACAGAAAUUUGUACUUCUCUAUCCCCAAGGAGUUUGCAAGCACAUGGAAUAAAACACUUCUCUAUCAGCACAACUAGAUUUCUUGAAGCCAACCCAUCGUCUGUACAUAUCGAACUUGUGUCAUUUUUAUCUUCAGGAAGGUCUUUGUAUUGUUUGAAACUCUCCGACAACCACCAUGGCCAGAAAUUUGCAGAAGUGGUAUUUAGUACGCUUCUCAAUGCCUCGUCCAGUCUAUCUGUCCUUGACCUUUCAGAAAACAAUAUAUCAGGCUGGCUUUCUGAACUCUGUGGGAGAUCACAAAGGAACCGUCGAACACCUUUAGAAGUUGGGAAGUCCUUGCAAUCAUUACGGGUGCUCAAUUUAAGGGGAAACAAUCUCAAUAAAGAUGAUGCAGAUGACCUUAGGUAUGCUCUUGUUCAUAUGCCUAAGUUGGAGGUCCUGGAUAUGAGUGAUAAUCCUAUUGAGGAUGAUGGAAUCAGGAAUUUGAUUCCGUUAUUUAUGGAAGCUUCAGAAAAAGGCACUCCCCUUGUUGAUUUAAUGUUGGAAAACUGUGAGCUUUCCUGUCAUGGAGUGACUCAACUUAUGAAAACCCUUUCUAGCCUAAGCCGACCAUUAAAGUCUCUAUCUAUUGCAGGAAAUGACCUUGGCAGUCAAGUAGCAGCAGCUUUGGGAGAACUUUUGCGUACACCCAUUCAAGUACUGGAUGCUGAAGGUAUUGGAUUAGGUUCAUCUGGUUUUCGGGUUCUACAAGAAGAACUUACUACGGAAAUAGAGCUAGUCGAGAUCAACUUAAGUGAAAAUCGUGGAGGAAUUGAAACAGCAAAUUUUUUGUCAAAGAUUAUUUCAAUGGCUCCGAAACUUGUUAAAGUCAACGCUGCAUAUAAUCUUAUGCCUGCAGAAUCAUUGACGGCCAUAUGCUCUGCCAUUAAAAAUGCAAAAGGUACUCUGCGGCAUUUGGACUUGAGCGGAAAUAUUUGGGACUAUCAGCCGGUCUAUGAUUCUAUGCUUGCCGACAUCCAAUGUAAUGAAGGGUUCGUUUUGAUUCUUCCAUCACUUACUCCAGAUUUACCCUAUGAUGCUGACCCAUAGAGAGUUGGCUCAUGAUGCAAUUUCUUCAACCAAACUGACACGCAGUUGCCACUUCCCCACUGUGAAACAAAGUAUGCAGCUAUUGAUUUGUUAAUCUGUUAUGGCUAAUAGAAAAAUCAUUCGAUUAUUAAAUUUCAAGGUGGUCGUGUAGAAAUCAGUGAGACAAACUCAUAGCCUAAGAUUAACAUGAGGUCAUCCGUUUCUGAGAUGAUUGAUGAAAAGACACCCUAGCAUUCAGCACACUGAUCUGUACAAAUGUGAACCAAGCAGAUUACGACUGCUUCUUUUGUUGAUUCGCUUGUAAUUGACUUCUCUCAUUACUUGCUUUUCCAAAAUCACACCUUUUCCCUUAUUAGUCGAUCGCUCGAAUCGGUUGCAGAAAUAGAAGCAGAAGUGGAGGGAGAUAGUUAUGAUAGCUCUCUUUAUCUACAUUGAUGCAUAUGCAGAAGAACAUAACCAUGUGCUACUGUUCAGCUACUUGAGCUCACUGAUGCCCAAAGUUUUGGCCGGACGAACUCUGUAAUCAUCAGGGGUGAAACUUCCAGCAGCCAAAAUAUCGAGCCCCAGGAAUUUCUAGCUUUCCGCAGUUAACACGAAGUAUUACUCUUAAUUAUGCGAUGAUAAUGCUAGUUAAGUAUGAAAACUAGGUAGCUGAAUCUACCUCGCGGGAACAGAAAGUUCAGUGGCGACUGGUGAGGCAGAACUGAGAGAUAUUUUGAAGGAAGCAGAAGAAUGUGCACUGUGAAAAGACACUGAUUCUGUGCCCUUCUGAUCAUCAUCCCCGUUUGGCAAACUUUAAGGUUUGUAGUUCUGGCUACCAACCUUGAGCUUCAGCAGUCGAUCACAAAUACUUGUUAAAUGAAAAUAGAUAUAACGUGUGGUGUCUGGGAAGUUGGUCCGGACUAUGCAGAGUUUUAGAUUUCACUUUCAUUCGUUGAGACUUGAAACAAAUUAAAUGGCAAGGUUCAUAGUGACCAACUUCAUGGGAAACAUCAUGCCCCAUUGCCCCAACAUCUUUGCUCAUG